Molecule: ribosomal RNA, 508 nt
Filed under: uncultured bacterium
Lineage: Bacteria
Description: bacterial SSU rRNA
Rfam family: Bacterial small subunit ribosomal RNA
Source: RNAcentral
GGAAACCUUGACGCAGCAACGCCGCGUGGGUGAUGAAGGCUUUCGGGUCGUAAAGCCCUGUCAGGUGGGAAGAAACACAUCGGUGCUAAUAUCACCGAUGCUUGACGGUACCACCGGAGGAAGCACCGGCUAACUCCGUGCCAGCAGCCGCGGUAAUACGGAGGGUGCAAGCGUUGUUCGGAAUUAUUGGGCGUAAAGCGCGUGUAGGCGGUCAGGCAAGUCAGAUGUGAAAGCCCUCGGCUUAACCGAGGAAGGGCAUUUGAAACUGCUUGGCAGGAGUACGGGAGAGGAGAGUGGAAUUCCCGGUGUAGAGGUGAAAUUCGUAGAUAUCGGGAGGAACACCAGUGGCGAAAGCGGCUCUCUGGCCCAAUACUGACGCUGAGACGCGAAAGCGUGGGGAGCAAACAGGAUUAGAUACCCUGGUAGUCCACGCUGUAAACGAUGAGCACUAGGUGUAGGAGGUAUUGACCCCUUCUGUGCCGCAGCUAACGCAUUAAGUGCUCCGCCU